RNAcentral lists this ribosomal RNA (800 nucleotides) under Staphylococcus sp. JSM 2155027. Its description in RNAcentral is "bacterial SSU rRNA". It matches the Rfam family "Bacterial small subunit ribosomal RNA", at positions 32 to 813 of the family's 1533-position model. The record is from RNAcentral. Lineage: Bacteria; Bacillati; Bacillota; Bacilli; Caryophanales; Staphylococcaceae.
GGAGGUGGUGGGUUGCCUCCUACAUAGCAAGUCGAGCGAACAGAUAAGGAGCUUGCUCCUUUGACGUUAGCGGCGGACGGGUGAGUAACACGUGGGUAACCUACCUAUAAGACUGGGAUAACUUCGGGAAACCGGAGCUAAUACCGGAUAACAUUUGGAACCGCAUGGUUCUAAAGUGAAAGAUGGUUUUGCUAUCACUUAUAGAUGGACCCGCGCCGUAUUAGCUAGUUGGUAAGGUAACGGCUUACCAAGGCGACGAUACGUAGCCGACCUGAGAGGGUGAUCGGCCACACUGGAACUGAGACACGGUCCAGACUCCUACGGGAGGCAGCAGUAGGGAAUCUUCCGCAAUGGGCGAAAGCCUGACGGAGCAACGCCGCGUGAGUGAUGAAGGGUUUCGGCUCGUAAAACUCUGUUAUUAGGGAAGAACAAAUGUGUAAGUAACUGUGCACGUCUUGACGGUACCUAAUCAGAAAGCCACGGCUAACUACGUGCCAGCAGCCGCGGUAAUACGUAGGUGGCAAGCGUUAUCCGGAAUUAUUGGGCGUAAAGCGCGCGUAGGCGGUUUCUUAAGUCUGAUGUGAAAGCCCACGGCUCAACCGUGGAGGGUCAUUGGAAACUGGGAAACUUGAGUGCAGAAGAGGAAAGUGGAAUUCCAUGUGUAGCGGUGAAAUGCGCAGAGAUAUGGAGGAACACCAGUGGCGAAGGCGACUUUCUGGUCUGUAACUGACGCUGAUGUGCGAAAGCGUGGGGAUCAAACAGGAUUAGAUACCCUGGUAGUCCACGCCGUAAACGAUGAG